AAAGCCCAAACCCAGAGACGCAGCCCGCAGACGUAAAACAACCCAAACCGCCCCAUUUGCCACCUCCAAUUCGAGAUCUGUUAAAUUUAUAAAACUCCUGGUGGCGCGUUUGCCCCCACCGUCUCUCUGUCUCUGCUAGUCACACAGCAGUAAAAAUGACGACCUCUAUGGGACCUCCACCUCCUAAAAACCCUAACCCCUCGCCCUCCACCGCCGCCUCCUCCACCACGAUGACGACCUCCGAACAACCCAAAACUCUCGACCAACCUCAAGAUUCUUUAGUGAAAGGCCAUAUGGGCCCACCUCCACCACCGCCCCCGAGAAACACUAUACCUUCCGAAUCGGAAGCCGUCGAAAAUCCAAAUUUGAACUCACCCAAUUCCAAUUCAAUACAGCCCUCUGAACAGAGCGUGAAGCGGUCCUCAGUGCCUUACACCAUUCCUGAAUGGAGCGGGCCUCCUUGCCAUAACUUUUACCUUGAAGUUCUCAAAGAUGGCUCCAUCAUUGAGCAAUUGGAUAUCUACGAGAAGGGGGCUUAUAUGUUUGGGCGUGUAGAUCUCUGCGAUUUUGUUCUUGAGCAUCCUACCAUCUCUCGAUUCCAUGCUGGUACUUGCUUGCUUCUUUCUUCUUCUAGUGGUAUUGUAUGUAGUUGAUCAAUUAGGUUAGUAAUGCGUUUAAUGGACAAACUUAGCUUCAAGUUAAUACAAGUUGUGAUCAAAGACGUUGGAAUGGCAAGUUAAUUGGUUUAGAUUGUGCAAGGGGCAAAAAUAUUUAUAGUGGUCGAGCCAUAAUACUUAGAAAAGCUAAAGAAAUCCAAUUAAUCCUUUCUGUUAUGUCUGUUAUUGUGCUGAGCUGUGAUUAUGUAAUGCGCUCAGUGUUAGGCUCAAAGCCUGCAUUUAGUUUUGUGAUGCUAGCUUGCUGCUUUAACAAUUGUUAUGCCUAUACUCCUUAAGCUUCUGGCCUAUGUUAAAAAUAGGCGGAAUCAUGAACUUAGCUGUAAAAGUGCUAAUACCUUUGCUUAAUCUUCUAAAUUAUUUUAGGUAACUACUUACAUUGGCUAUAAACGGUGUUUGGAAGUUAUAGUUGGGAUUAGAAAGGAAGAUUGUUCAAAAAAUAAUCCCACAACACGCACCUGCGCGCACACACAUAUGGAGACUAGAAUAACUAAAAAAGAAAGAUAGAAGAAAAAAAUGGACACAAGGAAUUUUACAUGGUUUGGCCAUAUGCCUACGUCCACAGAGAGCCACCUGCGACUUUUCAAUAUUAAGGAGAGACUCACUAGUGCCCUAUUACAUAGAGAACAGGGUUUUUCUCUUUUAUGCUAGGAAUAUGAAAAACUGCAAAUUGCAACAAUAACUCAUUUGUUGGAAUUUUGAGCAUGGAUUAUUGGAAAAUUGUUAGUGAUGGAUGAUUAUGAUAUAAUUAACUAUGUAUAUCUCUUUGUUAGUUCUCCAGUUCAAAAGAAAUGGAGAUGCCUACCUUUAUGACCUCAACAGCACACAUGGUACUUUCAUUAACAAGUGUCAGGUUGAGAAAAAGGUUUAUGUGGAACUAAAUGUUGGUGAUAUCAUUCGAUUUGGCCUUUCAUCUCGAUUGUACAUAUUCCAAGGGCCAUCUGAAUUGAUGCUCCCGGAAAAAGACUUGAAGCUUCUUAGAGAAGCUAAGUUCCGGCAAGAGAUGCUUGAUCGAGAAGCUUCACUUCGACGAGCAAGAGCAGAAGCAUCUGUUGCAGAUGGUAUCUCAUGGGGCAUGGGAGAAGAUGCUGUUGAAGAAGAUGAGGAUGAUGGCGAUGAAAUUACUUGGCAAACCUACAAAGGACAACUUACAGAGAAGCAGGAGAAAACCCGUGAUAAAAUAAUCAAACGAACUGAAAAGAUUGCUCAUAUGAAGAAAGAAAUAGAUGCUAUUCGUGCUAAAGAUAUUGCUCAAGGUGGGUUGACACAAGGGCAGCAAACUCAGAUUGCUCGGAAUGAACAAAGAAUGACACAGGUAAAAGCUGGUCUUUCUCCCAAUUAUUUUCUAGUGGUUCUCUAUUUUGCUCUUGGAAAGGAUUGCUCUUUUGAUUUCCCCCCACUUCUACAUGCUCUUUUCUCAUAUCUGUUAAUAGAUCUUGGAAGAACUGGAAAACUUGGAAGAAACAUUAAAUGAAAGUAUCCAGGAAAGUAUUGGCGCACGUGCUGGAAGGAAAUCUAGCAGCAUGAAAAAAGGAACAGCAGAAGAUGAUGAGGAUUUUUUGAGUGAUGAUGAUGAAUUCUAUGACCGUACAAAGAAGCAUUCAAUACAAAAGUCAAAUGAAAAUCAAUCAAUUGAAACUGCUGAUAGUCUUCUUGACAAGAGAGACAACAUCAUGAAAGAAAUGGAAGACAAAAAGGAGUUGCUUUUGAUUGAGAAGAAUAAAACAGCAUUUGAAACUGCAGCAGAAACUGAAGCUGGAGACACACUCGAUGCUUACAUGUCGGGACUGUCGUCUCAACUAGGGCUUGAUAAAACUGUACAAAUUGAAAAAGAAUUGUCUGCUCUCCAAUCUGAACUGGAUAGGAUCUUCUUUCUCUUGAAAAUUGCCGACCCAUCUGGAGAGGCUGCUAAGAAAAGGGAUUCAAGAGUACAAGGACAGAAACCUGAUAAUUAUAAAGCUGAAGCACCUGCUGCUGCUACCAAAAAGCAAUCUACCGUGGAACCAAAGAAAAGCAGUGGGGUGGGAAAACCAAUAGAUGCCUCAAAGAAGAAAGACACAACUCCAGAUUCCAUGGUCGCUACCAUGGAGUCAGACAAUAAGCCAGAAGCUGACAAGGUUGUUGAUGCACCUGAGGUUAAACCUGCUGUUUACACUGUUGUAAAGCCUCAGUGGCUUGGUGCAGUGAAUGAUACAGAAGUGAAAGAGACGAAACAAGAAGUGUUGAAUAUAGAUGAGGCUUACCAAUUCGUGGAUUAUAAAGACAGGCAAAAGAUCUUGCUUAAUGUGGAUGGUGCACAGGAUAAGAUGGAUUCAGGCAUUGAAAGUGCUGCUCCUGGGUUGAUAAUAAGGAAGCAGAAGGAAACUGAGGGACCUGGAACCAAUGAUAACAAAGCUACUGAACAGUCCAUGGCAUCCACCAUAGAAGCCAAGCUCACAGCAGAAGAUGCUGUGGCAUUGUUACUGAAGCAUAAGAGAGGAUAUCAUGCAGAAGAUGAGGUUGGAGGACAUGAAAGCCGGGAAGUAGGCCAAAGUCAACAUAAUAAGGAUAACAAAAGACCAAAAAGAGUGCUUGGCCCUGAGAAACCAUCAUUUCUCAACGGCAAUUCAUAUUAUGAAUCAUGGGUCCCUCCUGAAGGACAAUCAGGUGAUGGGCGAACCUCUCUGAAUGACCGAUAUGGAUAUUGAUGUGAAAUUCUUGUCUUGUCAUGACAUGGGCCCUAAGCAUGACCUGUUGUGGGCAAACAUGUUUUACAAGGGUAUGAUGACGCUAAACUUUACUUAAGCCUUAAUGAUGACAGUUCGAGUCAGAAGCAUCCUGCAAAAUAAUGUGCUUUUGUUUAACAACUCCAAGGCAAAUAGAGAAGGGUGGUUGAAAGCUGUUGUGUGUUAUUGAUCUAGUUGCAUUUGGCGAACUUAUAAUUAAAAAUCAUUUAGGUUGGAGAUGUUCUUCAGGGAUCAUUUCUAGAUCAAGAGAAUGCCACACCUUAGUUGCAUUUGGACAAGCAUUAAGGGUCAUGAAGGAUUUAAUGCACUAAUGUCCAGAAAAAUGCAGUUUAUACUGAUGUGUAAAUAUCAAAUAGUUUCGUCCAAACAUGUAGUCAAAUAAAAAGAUACUAGCAAUUCAAGCAAGGAUUGGUUUUGGAAGCCCUAUUGCAAGAUAGUCAUAUGUGUUUUAUUUUUGCAGCUGAAAAUAAUUGGUGCUGCGGUGAUUAUAAAAGUGAAUGGAUAAAUGUAAAAAGUGAGUAAAUUGGAUUAACGCUUUCAAUUGAACAAGUAAAAAAUCUUAAAAAAUAAAAG
RNAcentral lists this unclassified non-coding RNA (3973 nucleotides) under Hevea brasiliensis (rubber tree). The record is from RNAcentral. Lineage: Eukaryota; Viridiplantae; Streptophyta; Magnoliopsida; Malpighiales; Euphorbiaceae.